Molecule: unclassified non-coding RNA, 368 nt
Filed under: soil metagenome
Description: partial contains 5.8S ribosomal RNA, internal transcribed spacer 2, and large subunit ribosomal RNA
Rfam family: 5.8S ribosomal RNA (bases 1-121)
Source: RNAcentral
GAUGAAGAACGUAGCGAAAUGCGAUAAGUAAUGCGAAUUGCAGAAUUUCCGUGAGUCAUCGAAUCUUUGAACGCACAUUGCGCCCUCUGGUAUUCCGGGGGGCAUGCCUGUCCGAGCGUCAUUGCAAACCCUCAAGCCCGGCUUGCGCGAUGGGUCGCAUCGUCCCCGAAGGCCCUCCGGGGCGGGUGGGACGGGCCCGAAAGGCAGCGGCGGCGUCGCGGUCAUCCGAUCAGCCCAAGCGUAUGGGGACAUCCGUCACACGCUAGGGGCGCGGACCGACGCCCGCCUGGAACGUCACACUUCUCAAGGUUUGACCUCGGAUCAGGUAGGGAUACCCGCUGAACUUAAGCAUAUCAAUAAGCGGAGGA